This 463-nucleotide ribosomal RNA is filed under the name uncultured bacterium. Its description in RNAcentral is "partial 16S ribosomal RNA". It matches the Rfam family "Bacterial small subunit ribosomal RNA", at positions 339 to 795 of the family's 1533-position model. The record is from RNAcentral.
CUACGGGGGGCACCAGUGGGGAAUAUUGCACAAUGGGCGCAAGCCUGAUGCAGCCAUGCCGCGUGUAUGAAGAAGGCCUUCGGGUUGUAAAGUACUUUCAGCGGGGAGGAAGGGAGUAAAGUUAAUACCUUUGCUCAUUGACGUUACCCGCAGAAGAAGCACCGGCUAACUCCGUGCCAGCAGCCGGGUAAUACGGAGGGUGCAAGCGUUAAUCGGAAUUACUGGGCGUAAAGCGCACGCAGGCGGUUUGUUAAGUCAGAAGUGAAAUCCCCGGGCUCAACCUGGGAACUGCAUCUGAUACUGGCAAGCUUGAGUCUCGUAGAGGGGGGUAGAAUUCCAGGUGUAGCGGUGAAAUGCGUAGAGAUCUGGAGGAAUACCGGUGGCGAAGGCGGCCCCCUGGACGAAGACUGACGCUCAGGUGCGAAGGCGUGGGGAGCAAACAGGAUUAGAUACCCCCGUAGUC